UAAAUAAAUAAAAUAUUGGAGGUGGGAUGGAUGGCUGGAGGAUCUGAAACUUCCCAUCAAGGUAAAAUUCACCUUGGGUUCUGGGUUACACUCAGCUGGGACUAAAUAAAUAAAAUAUUGGAGGCUCUGAAGCAUCCCAUCAAGGUAAAAUUCA
This is a non-coding RNA of Zonotrichia albicollis (white-throated sparrow), 154 nucleotides long. The record is from RefSeq and is a predicted model, not a curated record. NCBI's taxonomy places the organism in Eukaryota, Metazoa, Chordata, Aves, Passeriformes, Passerellidae.